UACCUUAGUCAGUGCUGAGCAUUGACGUACGUGGAUGGACAGAAAAGUACUUCUAGAAGAAAUAUUAACAGAAGGGUAUAUUUGGCCGUCAACGCGUACCACCCUAUUUGAGGACCUUCGUCCCAUAACAUCUCACACACAGACUAGUACCACAUAACGAUCCUUGGCAUCUCUGUGUUGGUUUGUCCACUACUACUGAAAGUUCGACGAAAGACGAAAUAUUAAUUUCAUCGAUUAUCAGAUUACCACACACACAAGAGACCCAAAAUGAUCUAAUCAACUUGUUUGAGGUCUGAAUUAGGUAACCUAGUACUGCGACACUCUGCCUCUCCGAGCAUCAACAUUCUUCUCCAAAAGAGAACACAUUUGGUCAUCUCGACCACAACAAAACUUCAACCUCCUGCUUCACAUUAACUCCAAAUUUGAACAAGGUACAGAAAAGUAAAAAGGUACGAUCGGGUAAGGAACUGCCAUCGGUUACACUUUGGUCUGACAGUCUUGGUCUGACAGCUUUAUCAUGGAUUUUGGUCUGUGUAGGGAUUAUGGGUUGCAGGAUUGAAUAUUUAAAAAAAAUAUUAAAUGAGUAUUUAUUAUAAGAUUGAUAUAAUUCAUAAAUAAGAGUUAAGAGCGCAACAAAAAGUGCGCACCUUCAUGAAUAUUGCCUUGUUAGCUGAUUGUGGAUUGAGUGCGAGAGCGCGCUAGCGAACUGCGAGAGAAAACAACGAGCGAGAAAACACCGAGAUGCGCGCGACCGGCGAAAGAGAGAAUGAAGAUUGUCAAAUCAGUUUUGUGAUUAAUUUCUGUGGAAUAAGACGUGUUGUUUGUUAAUUGCAAAAUGUCUGUGUUUUUAUUAUUAAGGAAAGUCCCCGAUCACGACAAUGGCACAGUCCGGUAAGUCGAACCUUUUGAUUCAUGAAAGAUCAUUUGUUUUGCUUGAAUUGUUGUGUUGUGAAAUCCAACAGUUUUGUUUACCUGCCAGGAUGCAGGUCCAAAGUUUCGCUUUGUUGUUUUACCUUUGUUUUGAAACAGGUAGAUUUUUGCUUGAACUUGUUAUUUGAAAUUGAUAAAAGGCAUAAAACUAUCUGCGAUAAUUGGGUCCUAAAAUGAAGCUUAGAUUGCUGAUAUUAUUGUUUACAGCGAUUAAGCUUAUUUUUCUGAGUACGAUGACCCUUUGUACGACCACAUAGAGUUUAAAAUGGAUUUUUAAAUCAAUUUUGAAAAAUUAAUCUCGCGGUCCUUCUUGACAGAAAAGCUCCUACUUGACAGCUCGUUCCAAGGGGACCAUAGUUAAUAAAUCGAAAAAAUGUUGUCUUGUCAAAAAAAAAAAUUUGCGUUAAAAUGAAAAAAAGUGAUCAGAAAUGGUUUUUAAUCGUGUUUUUUAACGUUGUACAUAAAAAUUUACAUAGGGCUUUAGUACCCAAUUGACGGUCUUGAAUUUAAUGAAUGAUUUGCUUGUUGUUGUGAUAUUGGGAACGAAUGUUUUGUUUUUAAGUACACUGAGCAAAACUUACACAGCUCAACGAAGUGUUCUACACAUGAUCUGGCCCUGCUGUACAGAGCACUCAAAUAUCAAUCGCAAAACACUUGAAAUUUCGGUGAUUGGCCACGAAAUAAUGUCAAUAGCCAAACACUUGAAUUUUAAAUGGCGUUGAAAAAAAAAAGUACGUACAAGCGAUUUACAGGUUCUCGCUUGCUAGUCGUGCACGCUACCGGCCAGUUGAAGACGGGAGUGUUUUUUGUGCUAUUGGUUCUUGCCUCGCUUCUAGCCUUCGAUGAAAGUCGCGUAAAAAUCAAUCAGUGAAAUACAUUAAAUUCAUUUGG
Molecule: long non-coding RNA, 1821 nt
Organism: Culex pipiens pallens (northern house mosquito)
Lineage: Eukaryota; Metazoa; Arthropoda; Insecta; Diptera; Culicidae
Exons: 3
Source: RefSeq, a predicted model, not a curated record